Molecule: ribosomal RNA, 3004 nt
Filed under: Salmonella enterica
Lineage: Bacteria; Pseudomonadati; Pseudomonadota; Gammaproteobacteria; Enterobacterales; Enterobacteriaceae
Description: bacterial LSU rRNA
Rfam family: Bacterial large subunit ribosomal RNA
Source: RNAcentral
UUAAGCGACUAAGCGUACACGGUGGAUGCCCUGGCAGUCAGAGGCGAUGAAGGACGUGCUAAUCUGCGAUAAGCGCCGGUAAGGUGAUAUGAACCGUUAUAACCGGCGAUUUCCGAAUGGGGAAACCCAGUGUGACUCGUCACACUAUCAUUAACUGAAUCCAUAGGUUAAUGAGGCGAACCGGGGGAACUGAAACAUCUAAGUACCCCGAGGAAAAGAAAUCAACCGAGAUUCCCCCAGUAGCGGCGAGCGAACGGGGAGGAGCCCAGAGCCUGAAUCAGCAUGUGUGUUAGUGGAAGCGUCUGGAAAGGCGCGCGAUACAGGGUGACAGCCCCGUACACAAAAGCGCAUAUGCUGUGAGCUCGAUGAGUAGGGCGGGACACGUGGUAUCCUGUCUGAAUAUGGGGGGACCAUCCUCCAAGGCUAAAUACUCCUGACUGACCGAUAGUGAACCAGUACCGUGAGGGAAAGGCGAAAAGAACCCCGGCGAGGGGAGUGAAAAAGAACCUGAAACCGUGUACGUACAAGCAGUGGGAGCCCCACCACUAAGCCAGUGGUGAACUCCACAUACGCAUCCUUUGCUGAGGAUACGGUUAACGGAGCGAAAGCGACGUUCAACCUCAAAAGAAGCAGAGGGGGCUUAGUGGUGGGGUGACUGCGUACCUUUUGUAUAAUGGGUCAGCGACUUAUAUUCUGUAGCAAGGUUAACCGUAUAGGGGAGCCGGAGGGAAACCGAGUCUUAACCGGGCGUUAAGUUGCAGGGUAUAGACCCGAAACCCGGUGAUCUAGCCAUGGGCAGGUUGAAGGUUGGGUAACACUAACUGGAGGACCGAACCGACUAAUGUUGAAAAAUUAGCGGAUGACCUGUGGCUGGGGGUGAAAGGCCAAUCAAACCGGGAGAUAGCUGGUUCUCCCCGAAAGCUAUUUAGGUAGCGCCUCGUGAAUUCAUCUCCGGGGGUAGAGCACUGUUUCGGCUAGGGGGCCAUCCCGGCUUACCAACCCGAUGCAAACUGCGAAUACCGGAGAAUGUUAUCACGGGAGACACACGGCGGGUGCUAACGUCCGUCGUGAAGAGGGAAACAACCCAGACCGCCAGCUAAGGUCCCAAAGUCAUGGUUAAGUGGGAAACGAUGUGGGAAGGCCCAGACAGCCAGGAUGUUGGCUUAGAAGCAGCCAUCAUUUAAAGAAAGCGUAAUAGCUCACUGGUCGAGUCGGCCUGCGCGGAAGAUGUAACGGGGCUAAACCAUGCACCGAAGCUGCGGCAGCGACACUGUGUGUUGUUGGGUAGGGGAGCGUUCUGUAAGCCUGCGAAGGUGGCCUGUGAGGGUUGCUGGAGGUAUCAGAAGUGCGAAUGCUGACAUAAGUAACGAUAAAGCGGGUGAAAAGCCCGCUCGCCGGAAGACCAAGGGUUCCUGUCCAACGUUAAUCGGGGCAGGGUGAGUCGACCCCUAAGGCGAGGCCGAAAGGCGUAGUCGAUGGGAAACGGGUUAAUAUUCCCGUACUUGGUGUUACUGCGAAGGGGGGACGGAGAAGGCUAUGUUGGCCGGGCGACGGUUGUCCCGGUUUAAGCGUGUAGGUGUGUGUUCCAGGUAAAUCCGGUUCACUUUAACACUGAGGCGUGAUGACGAGGCACUACGGUGCUGAAGCAACAAAUGCCCUGCUUCCAGGAAAAGCCUCUAAGCAUCAGGUAACAUCAAAUCGUACCCCAAACCGACACAGGUGGUCAGGUAGAGAAUACCAAGGCGCUUGAGAGAACUCGGGUGAAGGAACUAGGCAAAAUGGUGCCGUAACUUCGGGAGAAGGCACGCUGACAUGUAGGUGAAGUGAUUUACUCAUGGAGCUGAAGUCAGUCGAAGAUACCAGCUGGCUGCAACUGUUUAUUAAAAACACAGCACUGUGCAAACACGAAAGUGGACGUAUACGGUGUGACGCCUGCCCGGUGCCGGAAGGUUAAUUGAUGGGGUCAGCGCAAGCGAAGCUCCUGAUCGAAGCCCCGGUAAACGGCGGCCGUAACUAUAACGGUCCUAAGGUAGCGAAAUUCCUUGUCGGGUAAGUUCCGACCUGCACGAAUGGCGUAAUGAUGGCCAGGCUGUCUCCACCCGAGACUCAGUGAAAUUGAACUCGCUGUGAAGAUGCAGUGUACCCGCGGCAAGACGGAAAGACCCCGUGAACCUUUACUAUAGCUUGACACUGAACAUUGAGCCUUGAUGUGUAGGAUAGGUGGGAGGCUUUGAAGUGUGGACGCCAGUCUGCAUGGAGCCGACCUUGAAAUACCACCCUUUAAUGUUUGAUGUUCUAACGUGGACCCGUGAUCCGGGUUGCGGACAGUGUCUGGUGGGUAGUUUGACUGGGGCGGUCUCCUCCUAAAGAGUAACGGAGGAGCACGAAGGUUGGCUAAUCCUGGUCGGACAUCAGGAGGUUAGUGCAAUGGCAUAAGCCAGCUUGACUGCGAGCGUGACGGCGCGAGCAGGUGCGAAAGCAGGUCAUAGUGAUCCGGUGGUUCUGAAUGGAAGGGCCAUCGCUCAACGGAUAAAAGGUACUCCGGGGAUAACAGGCUGAUACCGCCCAAGAGUUCAUAUCGACGGCGGUGUUUGGCACCUCGAUGUCGGCUCAUCACAUCCUGGGGCUGAAGUAGGUCCCAAGGGUAUGGCUGUUCGCCAUUUAAAGUGGUACGCGAGCUGGGUUUAGAACGUCGUGAGACAGUUCGGUCCCUAUCUGCCGUGGGCGCUGGAGAACUGAGGGGGGCUGCUCCUAGUACGAGAGGACCGGAGUGGACGCAUCACUGGUGUUCGGGUUGUCAUGCCAAUGGCACUGCCCGGUAGCUAAAUGCGGAAGAGAUAAGUGCUGAAAGCAUCUAAGCACGAAACUUGCCCCGAGAUGAGUUCUCCCUGAGACUUAGAGUCUCCUGAAGGAACGUUGAAGACGACGACGUUGAUAGGCCGGGUGUGUAAGCGCAGCGAUGCGUUGAGCUAACCGGUACUAAUGAACCGUGAGGCUUAACCUU